GACGAACGCUGGCGGCGUGCCUAACACAUGCAAGUCGUACGGGACUAAGGGGGCAACUCUUUAGUUCAGUGGCAGACGGGUGCGUAACACGUGAGGAACCUGUCCGGGUGGCGGGGGAUAGCCGGCCCAACGGCCGGGUAAUACCCGCAUACGGCUCGUUUGGGGGCAUCCCUGAGCGAGGAAAGCAGCCGCAAGGUUGCGCCGGACGGAGGGUCUCGCGGCCUAUCAGCUUGUUGGCGGGGUCACGGCCCACCAAGGCGACGACGGUAGCUGGUCUGAGAGGAUGAUCAGCCACAUUGGGACUGAGACAC
This 311-nucleotide ribosomal RNA is filed under the name uncultured bacterium. RNAcentral describes it as "bacterial SSU rRNA". It matches the Rfam family "Bacterial small subunit ribosomal RNA", at positions 28 to 327 of the family's 1533-position model. The record is from RNAcentral.